GCCUCGUUCAAGCUGCACCAAAAGCGGACCAGAGGUGGCAGCCCUCGCCUCCUCCAUGUUAGCAACGUCGUACUCUAUGGUCAAGGAAGCAACCGGAGCGUCCGAGCUCCUCCUGAGUGCCCUCUGGGCCUCUGCCAAGGUCCGUCAGCUUUCACUCCGGUGACGACCAGGGCUCUCGAAACGCCUCCCCUGAGGGUCACUCCUAGACUGCCCCCCUCGCGUUCCACUCUAACCUGGGCAACCUUCGAGGACACGCUGGACGGAGUCGACACAGGGCUAUCCUGAUCAUCGAGCAACAAGAAACUAUGCGGAUGGUCUGGCACGAUUCUUGUGCGAACGCAUGGUGGUCAGUCUCAGGGAACUGAACAUCCUCGACGUCCCUCUUCAGGGUAUUUUACCGAUCAACGUCGCUGCUUGGGGAAUAGACGAUUGGCAUCGCUGAUUAGACACGCUGGUCUAACUCGUUGCACUUUUAUUAAGGCACUGAUAGAAGAGGAAACUUUGAGGCAGUCAGGCACCUCGAGGAGGCUUUAAAUACACUUGAUAAUUCCCUGGAAAGGAUCAUCUAGCGGACACGGUUCCCCGUGCACGCUGUGCGGCGUCGACUGACCGGCGCUCAUCGGUAUUUAUUUUAAGAGAGCGUAUUUUUUCGCGCACUGUUCGCGCUCGUGUCCACGAUUUAUUUCAAGAGACUGGCUGGAACGCGUAGCCAGCACGUUGGAACGAUUAACCACAUUCGCACAAUCGGUGUAUCCCGGUUUCAGAACGAUCCAGGCGAUAGAAGAGGAGCAGCAGGUCGUCGAGGACACCCGGAACGAUCGAGGGUUUCUUGUUGGUCGCGGUGUAAACAGCAGGUCGGUGUCUUUGUUUGACGAGGCCGUGGUGGGCGAAGAAGUUGUAGCCGGAGGGAACUCGUUGGAACUGAGCGGCGGAGAUGUGUAACGAGUGGCGAUGCCUGUCGAAAAUAACUCGACGAUGGUAGGGCCGCAUCUCGUACAACGGAUCGUCUAUUUAUACACUGCGACACCCUCGCCGCUAUGGAGGAACGUGUACCGUUGGACGCGGCCCUGCAGGCGCCCCGCAGUCGCUCUACCGUCAAAUAAGUCUGCACUUCUCGUUAAAAGCUUAGAUUUCGAGUGUACGUGUUGCCGGUCGGCUCGCUUCGCCUACGGUUGCACCGUUUGAAAACCGCGUCUGAACCUACGGCGCGCUUAAUUUAACGGGGGAUCUCUUUUAUUUUUAGUCCGCGAUAUCGCCAACGUCGAACAGACGUUCGUGAUACCUAGAAGUCUUCGUUUAAACGACGCACACCGUUGGACGGUGACCAGAGAGACUUUGAUGCCAUUCAGAUUCAGAGAUUCUUUUUUAAACAUUUGUUUUUCAAAUCUAAAUUCAACGAUUCAAGGCUUUUGAAUAUUCUUCUCUCAUCAAUUCCUAAAUUUAUUUGAAAAUCAGUGUCUUUUAUAGUUUUAGUUCAUUUAUUACAAUAAUUGAUAUUAAAAUUCAUGUAGAGGCAUUUUAAUUGUCAUCCACUAUUUGAGGAUGAUAUAUUACUUAUUGAACUCUACAUGAAUUUAUUGAAAAAUGAAAUGAUUUCCUACUGGAAGUUUCAUGGCAUUCAAAGUGAUUAAUGUUAGGAUAAAGGCAUAGUCUUGGAUAAGAAUAAAUAAAAAACAAAAUACACGUAGAAAAUGAUAUUUAAUACAGAAUCAGCGCUACACUUAAGAACUACUCGAUCUUCCAAGAUCCUGUCGAAACUACAAUUGCUCAGAAGAGAGGAUAGAUAAAAAAAGAAAAGAAUCUAUUUUGUAAUCGUCCAGUGAACCAAGAGAGAAAGAGAGAGAGAGAGAGCAAGAAGAGGAGGAAUCAGGGUCCAUUGACCGAUCUUAAGUAGUCGGUUUUUGCAACCUCUUCCUACAACUUCUCUUCUCUCUCUAAAUCUUUCUUCGUUUCAAUUUCCAACUGUUUAGCCUCUCGCUCUCUUCCUCUCACUGAUUCGAUCUCCGUUUCGCAGAAGUCUGCCGGUGCGAACACCUUUCAUCGUUCUCCAUCCUUUGAUCUCAUAUUCGCAUGCGUUUCUUGCUUUAAAUCACAUCGUGCAUCGGAAUUUUUCAUUAAUUUUAUUACAAGUCAGUUCAGGCACAAUUGCUUAAUUUUAUAAUUAAUUUAGUUCAAUUCAGAGACAGUCUUUGUCUCAUUGAUCCAUUUCCAGAGGUGUGAUCCAUUCAUUCACUAACCAUCUUGGAACGGUUCAAUUAAAUCAAUUAGCCAAGUUAAUCGGUUCAUUAACUCUCCUUUUUAUCCCCUUCUGUAGCCUGUUUCUAUCAACGUCUAACAGAGCUGUUUUGAAAAAUUGGAUACAUUGUCUGAUUUUCAUAUUUAUUAACAAAAAGCUUCCCUUCAUGAAUCUAACAAUGGUUCUCUGUUCCAGGUUUAUCAGGAUUUAACCUAAUUAACCAGCCCCAUUAAUUUCAUCAAGCGCUCUCUAACAUUGUUCACCUUGUGACUUGACUCUGAACCUUGUCCCAUCAACUGCGAAGGUACUUAUCAAGCCCCUAUCUCUAAUCUGUGAUUCUUUGUUAGUAGAACCAUGUUCCCCAGUGACACGUGUCAUAGCAACAACCAAAAACCGAUUCCCAAUAUUCCAGAAUUCCAGCUGGAGAGGAGGCUGGACCAAAAGUUGACAUGUCCCAACGAGGCUGCACUUUGAAAGUGGCAAACGUGGUGGUUUGCCAAUUCCACCGUGUGCUAAAGUUAGCGUACAGUCAGCGGAGAGGCGAGCGUGCGACAAGGGGAGGAGGAAAACGGGCAGAGUGGGUUUUGGGAGUCGGUGCCGGAUGGAAAUAGAAAAAGGAAAAGUUGAUGAAAAGGAAAAAAACAGGUCACAGGAGGCGAAAGGUGUGAAGGGAAAGCUUGGUAGAAGAAGAAGAAAGGCUGCCCUCCAGAAGGGAGGAAGGGAGGCAGAAGCGAGAGGGUUGGUCCGUGGGUGGAAAACGCUCGAGACGGUGUCUAUCCUUGCCAAAAUAAUGAGCCACCUGGUGUAUUAAUAACCUGGACACGGUGUAACGCUAGACGUUUAGAAUAAACGCGGGAAUAUCAAGUAGUUACGCGUCUCUGAGAUUCAACUCGAGCGCCUUCCGGUUUCUCCGGUCGCGCCGCUCUCUCGUGCUGGGAUAAUCCUUCGCAUCUAGCCUGA
Molecule: non-coding RNA, 3196 nt
Organism: Osmia lignaria (orchard mason bee)
Lineage: Eukaryota; Metazoa; Arthropoda; Insecta; Hymenoptera; Megachilidae
Source: RefSeq, a predicted model, not a curated record